UCCGUAGGCGUGCGUCUAAGUCAGUGGUGAAAUCUUACAGCUCAACUGUAAAAUUGCCAUUGAUACUGGAUGUCUUGAAUUAGUGUGAAGUGGUUAGAAUGUGUAGUGUAGCGGUGAAAUGCAUAGAUAUUACACAGAAUACCAAUUGCGAAGGCAGAUCACUAACACUAUAUUGACGCUGAGGGACGAAAGCGUGGGGAGCGAACAGGAUUAGAUACCCUGGUAGUCC
This 229-nucleotide ribosomal RNA is filed under the name uncultured bacterium. RNAcentral's name for it is "partial 16S ribosomal RNA". It matches the Rfam family "Bacterial small subunit ribosomal RNA", at positions 568 to 796 of the family's 1533-position model. The record is from RNAcentral.